AUACGGAGGAUCCGAGCGUUAUCCGGAUUUAUUGGGUUUAAAGGGAGCGUAGGCGGACGCUUAAGUCAGAUGUGAAAGUUUGCGGCUCAACCGUAAAAUUGCAGUUGAUACUGGGUGUCUUGAGUACAGUAGAGGCAGGCGGGAUUCGUGGGGUAGCGGUGAAAUGCUUAGAUAUCACGAAGAACUCCGAUUGCGAAGGCAGCUUGCUGGACUGUAACUGACGCUGAUGCUCGAAAGUGUGGGUAUCAAACAGGAUUAGAUACCCUGGUAGUCCACACAGUAAACGAUGAAUACUCGCUGUUUGCGAUAUACAGUAAGCGGCCAAGCGAAAGCGUUAAGUAUUCCACCUGGGGAGUACGCCGGCAACGGUGAAACUCAAAUGAAUUGACGGGG
RNAcentral lists this ribosomal RNA (393 nucleotides) under uncultured bacterium. RNAcentral's name for it is "partial 16S ribosomal RNA". It matches the Rfam family "Bacterial small subunit ribosomal RNA", at positions 523 to 918 of the family's 1533-position model. The record is from RNAcentral.